GACGAACGCUGGCGGCGUGCUUAACACAUGCAAGUCGAACGGUAAGGCUCCAGCUUGCUGGGGUACACGAGUGGCGAACGGGUGAGUAACACGUGGGUGACCUGCCCUGCACUUCGGGAUAAGCCUGGGAAACUGGGUCUAAUACCGGAUAGGACCGCACCGUGAGGGUGUGGUGGAAAGUUUUUUCGGUGUGGGAUGGGCCCGCGGCCUAUCAGCUUGUUGGUGGGGUAAUGGCCUACCAAGGCGGCGACGGGUAGCCGGCCUGAGAGGGUGGACGGCCACAUUGGGACUGAGACACGGCCCAGACUCCUACGGGAGGCAGCAGUGGGGAAUAUUGCACAAUGGGCGGAAGCCUGAUGCAGCGACGCCGCGUGGGGGAUGACGGCCUUCGGGUUGUAAACUCCUUUCACCAUCGACGAAGGGUUUCUGACGGUAGAUGGAGAAGAAGCACCGGCUAACUACGUGCCAGCAGCCGCGGUAAUACGUAGGGUGCGAGCGUUGUCCGGAAUUACUGGGCGUAAAGAGCUCGUAGGUGGUUUGUCGCGUCGUCUGUGAAAUUCCGGGGCUUAACUCCGGGCGUGCAGGCGAUACGGGCAUAACUUGAGUACUGUAGGGGAGACUGGAAUUCCUGGUGUAGCGGUGAAAUGCGCAGAUAUCAGGAGGAACACCGGUGGCGAAGGCGGGUCUCUGGGCAGUAACUGACGCUGAGGAGCGAAAGCAUGGGGAGCGAACAGGAUUAGAUACCCUGGUAGUCCAUGCCGUAAACGGUGGGCGCUAGGUGUGGGUUUCCUUCCACGGGAUCCGUGCCGUAGCUAACGCAUUAAGCGCCCCGCCUGGGGAGUACGGCCGCAAGGCUAAAACUCAAAGGAAUUGACGGGGGCCCGCACAAGCGGCGGAGCAUGUGGAUUAAUUCGAUGCAACGCGAAGAACCUUACCUGGGCUUGACAUAUACAGGAUCGCGCCAGAGAUGGUGUUUCCCUUGUGGCUUGUAUACAGGUGGUGCAUGGUUGUCGUCAGCUCGUGUCGUGAGAUGUUGGGUUAAGUCCCGCAACGAGCGCAACCCUUGUCUUAUGUUGCCAGCACGUUGUGGUGGGGACUCGUAAGAAACUGCCGGGGUUAACUCGAAGGAAGGUGGGGAUGACGUCAAAUCAUCAUGCCCCUUAUGUCCAGGGCUUCACACAUGCUACAAUGGUCGGUACAGUGGGUUGCCAGUCCGUGAGGGCGAGCUAAUCCCGCAAAGCCGGUCUCAGUUCGGAUCGGGGUCUGCAACUCGACCCCGUGAAGUCGGAGUCGCUAGUAAUCGCAGAUCAGCAACGCUGCGGUGAAUACGUUCCCGGGCCU
This 1341-nucleotide ribosomal RNA is filed under the name uncultured bacterium. RNAcentral's name for it is "partial 16S ribosomal RNA". It matches the Rfam family "Bacterial small subunit ribosomal RNA", at positions 28 to 1381 of the family's 1533-position model. The record is from RNAcentral.